RNAcentral lists this long non-coding RNA (257 nucleotides) under Struthio camelus australis. RNAcentral's name for it is "lncRNA (ENSSCUG00000001750.1)". The record is from RNAcentral. Lineage: Eukaryota; Metazoa; Chordata; Aves; Struthioniformes; Struthionidae.
ACAGGCACAAAGGAGAGGCAAGGUGCAAGGUGGAGAAAGGAGAGAAUUGCUGACCUCAGGGUGAGUCAGUGCGGGAAGGGGCAGGAGCGCGGGAUGCCUUGGGUCUCUUGGUUCUUCCAGAUCAUCUUAAAUUGACGGGAGUGACAGCAGCUCUGGGAAACGAAUCUCCUUUCUAUCACCAGAAGAUAUGCAACUCCAGCAUAAGCGUUUUCAUGCCGUUCUGCCAAGCUUGUGAUAUUUAUGGGAACUUUAUUUGA